Long non-coding RNA from Pangasianodon hypophthalmus (striped catfish), 1325 nucleotides. RefSeq lists it as uncharacterized. The transcript is spliced from 2 exons. NCBI's taxonomy places the organism in Eukaryota, Metazoa, Chordata, Actinopteri, Siluriformes, Pangasiidae. The record is from RefSeq and is a predicted model, not a curated record.
CGAGACGUGUGCGUGACCUGAGAGAAGAUGGCGGAAAACGCUUCAUGUAUACCGUCUCGUUUAACGUCCUGUAGCCUAUAUGUGUUCAUUUAUGAAAGUUAACAGUUUUAGAUAAAAUUACCUAUUAAGGCCUGUAGUCUUACAGACAAUGUCAUUAUUCAUAUCAUAAUUUUGAAGUCUUCAAACUCAGGACUGUUGAAAAAUCCAGUUUGGUCUGACUCAGCUACCAAAACACACACAGGCUGAGCUAGAAGAAGCAAUAGUGUGAUGUUAGAAAUAAUUCAAAUAGAGGUUAGUCUGAUUAUAUGUUUAAUUUUCUUAUUAUGAACCUGAAACACUGAAAGGAUUCAUGUACAGAUUAUAUUUAUUAGCCAAGCAAAUUCAGCUUGGUUUGAUCAGCUACCAGGCCGAGCUGGUGAAGCUGUAGUGCUGGUAGAAAGGAAACUUCUGAAUUAAUAAUGCUUCAUGAUAGACAACUUGUUUUUAAGAAAAUAACACAACUCUAAGGCAAUUUAAUAAUACUGAGCCGCUAAGGGGACAUGGUGAUGGAAAAAAUGACAUGGGAGGAACAUUUCUAUUUCGAUGCUUUUUCACUCGCAAAACUUUUGUGUUCCCACAAGAAACUUUGCAUUUGCUGACAAAACUUUUGCGUUCUCUCGCUAAGAUAUUCGAGAGACUGCAAAUAUCUUUGUGAGAGAACAGAUGUUUUGUGAACAAACACAAAAGCAUUAAAAUAGAAAUUUUCCUCCCAUCUCAUAUUUUUUUCCAUCAUUAUGUCGCCUUAGGGGAUCUGUAGAAUAUCUCAAACGUUUACUGACAAAUUUAGUCAUGUAAGGAAUCUGGGAAAUAACUUUGACCACUUCAGCCUGUGUUUUGGCGGCUGGUUACUGAUCAGACUAAGCUGGAUUUUUCAGCAUAUACAGCAAAUGAGUCUAAUUAGAAAUGAAGCAUGUGUGGAUUUAAGCUGAAAUAGUAUUUUUUGUAAUAUUUUUGAGAUUUCAAAAAUCAAAUUUAAAAUUUUACAGAAGAGCCAAGAAGAGAGAACAGUUUAAUGAGUGGAUUAGUGAACUGUGUGUGUGUGUGUGUGUGUGUAGGUUAAAUUUAUGGACAGCAAGCUAAAGACCUGUGUGUAACCUGGUACAUCGUCUGGCUGGCAUAGCGGGAGGUUGUAGGGCAGCACAGGGAAUUCCAGUGGAAGAUCGGUCAGGACCUGGAGCAGCGGGGAGCCGGAGCAGCACAAUCCUCUGCUUCCUCCCAAAAGCACUCUGGCAAAAAAAAAAAACCUGGAAUUAUCUCAAUGUGUCAAACUGAGUUUCAGUUUCCAA